This 478-nucleotide ribosomal RNA is filed under the name Centipeda artemidis. RNAcentral's name for it is "bacterial SSU rRNA". It matches the Rfam family "Bacterial small subunit ribosomal RNA", at positions 28 to 479 of the family's 1533-position model. The record is from RNAcentral. Lineage: Bacteria; Bacillati; Bacillota; Negativicutes; Selenomonadales; Selenomonadaceae.
GACGAACGCUGGCGGCGUGCUUAACACAUGCAAGUCGAACGGAGCGAAUGAAAGCUUGCUUUUAUGAGCUUAGUGGCAAACGGGUGAGUAACACGUAGACAACCUGCCGAUAGGAUGGGGACAACAUUCCGAAAGGAAUGCUAAUACCGAAUGGCGUGUAGGGGAGGCAUCUCCCCUAUAUGAAAGAUGGCCUCUAUAUAUAAGCUAUCACCUAUCGAUGGGUCUGCGUCUGAUUAGCUGGUAGGUAAGGUAACGGCUUACCUAGGCGACGAUCAGUAGCCGGUCUGAGAGGAUGAACGGCCACAUUGGGACUGAGACACGGCCCAGACUCCUACGGGAGGCAGCAGUGGGGAAUCUUCCGCAAUGGGCGCAAGCCUGACGGAGCAACGCCGCGUGAGUGAAGAAGGUCUUCGGAUCGUAAAGCUCUGUUGAAGGGGACGAACGUACAUAAGUGAAUAAGCUUAUGUAAGACGGUACC